This 697-nucleotide unclassified non-coding RNA is filed under the name Hevea brasiliensis (rubber tree). The record is from RNAcentral. Lineage: Eukaryota; Viridiplantae; Streptophyta; Magnoliopsida; Malpighiales; Euphorbiaceae.
UGGAUCGAUCUGAUCCUGUUUGAACAAUGAGUCUUAAAUAAAAACCAGACCACAUAAAGCAUUCUUCCUCCCAGUCAGAAUCUUAAUCUAUUGAAUCAAGUAUCUGUUGGGUUAAAUAGGGAGCUCUUCACAGAUCAACGAAAAUCCGUUGCAAGGCUUCCAUAAGCAAGCAGUACAAAUAAUAUGUUGCUAAUGGUAAUGAACAGUUAGUUUAAGAUACAGCUAUCUAGGAAAAUUCCAUCUGUGAAGAGCUCCCUAUUUAACCCAACAGAUACUUGAUUCAAUAGAUUAAGAUUCUGACUGGGAGGAAGAAGGGGGUAAUGCGCAUCUUGACAGACUUAAAAUAAAGCCUAUAGAUGUACCUACUUUUCUAUUAAAUAUACACGAUAUCACAAAAGAGGAGACCCUCCAGGCUCGGUGAUAUUUCAACAGGCAUUCAUCCCUAAGCUAAUUGUGGAGUUUACUGAUGAUUUUGAACCAUAAAACCAAUGACCCAUUGAACGCCAUUUGGCCCAUUGGUUUCAAAAGGAGACUCACUGCCGAGGUACUGGUGGUGUAGCCGCUUGAUGGUUUUGUCCAUAGAAUCCAAUGCCUGGUGGCCUGUAGUAUCCUCCAGUUGCUGGUGUCUGCUGCUGCUGUGCUUGCUGAGGUUGCGACUGUAGUGAUGACUGAGCAGCAGGCCUUGCCAAUCCCAUUG